CCUCAGCUUUCUGGUCAAGGCAUCAACAUUGGGAUCUUUUCCAUCACUUGCAGACCUAAAGGAUAAGAUGAAGCUUAUCUUUAUUCUGAUCCCCUGACUCACUCUCCAGAGUAUUUUGAUUUCAAUGUAGUCUUGACUGAUGAGACUGCUUAUGGAGAAAGGCCAAGGCUGAGCCACUCUUGACACCAGAGGCUUUUGGAAGUCAGCAGUAUUGAAAGAGUAACUACUCAUCAGGGAAAGACUCUUCUGAAAGAACUCUACUUUCCUGCUUUGCACAGUUCCUGAGAUGCAUGUGUCUAUCUAUCUCAGCAUUAAGUUCAAAUUUACUCUAUGCACUGAAGAAAGUCCUAUUGAUCCAUAUGAGAUGCUACAUGGAAAAUCCACCACAAACCACAUUUCUUAGUCAUUCCUUACUACGGGAUAUCUGAAUUUACACGUGUUAGAGACUGCUGCUUUGGUCAAAGCCACAGGGACAUGAGGUAACACGCUGCUUUCUCAUUCUGAAACCUGGUGUGGGAAUGACAUGAGCUCACCCACCACUUUUGCACUGUGUAAACAGCCUGCAAAUUAAGUAAGAAAAAAGAGUGCUAAUAAGGAUUCUGGGGAAAAAAACAACAGCAAAAAAACCGCAGCACUGAAAAAGUCAGUGCUAUGAGCUGUUUCAGCCCAGUUUCUGGCAGUCACGUUGCUGGAAGAUAAACCUUGGCCCUGAAGAUUUCAGAAUUCCCAAACAAGCAUAUUCUGUUGUGGGACUUCUCUCAUAGAGCCUUAUAAUUUAGACUGGAAGGCACUUGCAGAGAUCUCUGAUCCAAUUCAUGCCACAAGACUUCUACGUGUUCCACCAAGGCCUCUCCGGAGGGAAAGGAAAAUAUGGUUUUAUUGCUUUUCCUGAUGGGGAAAUUAAUACAGGCAUCUUCAUAACACAGCAACAUCCGGUGGGCUGAGAACAAGGAAUUAACAGCCAGACUUUGGCUCUGUUUUGAAUAUAUAUUUGCUCAUAGUAUAAAGAUGAAUAGAACAAUUGUUCUUUUUGACUUGUCUAAUAGAAACACUAUCAUCAUCUUCAGCAGCAGUAACAGGGAGCUUUGUGUGGUGGAUAAAACACUACCCAAGAGUCAAAAAUCCUGAGUCCAGCUCUGACAUUUGUUUGGUGUGUGACCCUCACUUUCCUCUCAUCUGGAAAAUGUUCUUUUAGAUGUACUGUUGAAAAUCUCUGUAUGUAAAAAUCAGAAAAUACACAUUAUAAUAUUAAUUGGGAGUAUGUUUAGUCCUGCUUGAAUGACUGCUGGCUUGAAAUAAAAAGCCUGGAAAUCACAAGGUUUUUUUCAAACUAAAAAUUGGCCGAAAGCUGCCAGAGAAGCAGCUUUUCUAGAUUUUGUGUUUACCCAAAUCUUAGUUAACUUUAAAAACUCUAGGUUUAAUGCAGCACAUGUUCAGGACUUGAUCAAGUGAGCAAGUUGUCCCUGAUAUUUGCAAGGCAGAGAUACUUCCUGAAAGCUGGACUAAAGCAAUGCCUGUCCCUUAUAAGCACAGAGCUCUGAGUACAGCCUGACUGCAGUCUGUCCGCUGGACUCAUUCUGAGGUGAGGGACACGCAGCAUGAGACAGCCCAGAAGUUAUGAGCAGAUAAACUGGGUUAAAUGUUUUCAUUUUAUUAAGCAUUCAGUUUGGCUCAACAUGUAAAAUGCCACAGGGGAAAAGCCCUCAGAUCUUACCUCUUCAAACAAGCUGAGGUUAGACUCAGGUCUUCGGAGGAAUCUGGAGAGAAUAUGAACUGGAUUCAUCUGUGUUUUGAAACUGAUUCUACACAAGUAAGUAGCACGAUCUGUCAUUAUGACUGAAUGGACGCAGAAAUCCCGGGCACAGAAAUAGGAAAGCACCUUUGUACCAUAUAAUGAAACCUUAGUGCUUUCUCAACGCAGACAGACUAUAUAGCUGCAGAAUGAUAGCACAUCCAGGUCUAGAACAUAAAACAGUCAUUUCCAGAUGGUAGAAGAAUAUAGGAGAAAAAUCAUAACUGGAUCUCACUGUUUGUGGUUGUAUUUUCUCCCCUCCCUGGGCUCACUGAUGUGAGUCAGCAAUCUGAAGAGUUUGUGGGCAUAGUUUUCAUUGGAGGAGCUUUCAUUUCAUGGUUCCCCAUUUGUGUUCAUUGCCAACUUUACAGCUAAUUUAAACAAAAUUGAGCUUGUAGAUUAAAUGGCAACCCAUGGAAUUUGUUUGUGCAACUACCAGCACUCCUCCUAGUCAGAUUCUAAUUAAAUAGUGAGUUCCUGGACCUGCCUGUGGAAAACACUGGGAAAAAUGGCAGUGCCUGAGUGACAUCAGAGUUAACUCUGUCCAGCCCACUAGAGCCCCUGCAUUCCUCAAUAGCAGUAGGUGAAAUCCUGGGCUGUGGCAAUCUGGGAAAUCUGCCACCAGUUUUGUACAGUUAGAGAAAGGCUAGGAUUUCACCUGGGAAGACUAAAGGAACUGUCUCUUCUUGACAGUGCAACAUUUCCAGUUUUGCAGCUUGCCUUGCAAUGGCUUUAUUUUAACAGAGUGCAUUUUCCCUCAGUGUAGUUAAAGCUAUUCAUGUGUUUCAUUAAAACACAUGCUCAGCUUUUGGAGCAGAACGCUUUGCAAGCCCCUAGCAGAUACCAUUGUGCCCAGAGUGGAUUCUCUGAGUGAGAAGAAAGCAGGCUACAAAAUCUAGCAUUUGCAAAAGGCUUUUUGAAAGCUUUUUUCCAGGGGUUAAGGAGAAACCGGUCACCUCUGAGCUAUUUUCACCAACAAAAAUGCUCAGUUUGAAAUGUAUUCAGAUCUCCGAUAAUAAUACGUGGUUAAGCAGAUUCAUAAGGUGUUCACUAAGCAAGAACAAAGUUGGCUUUUGCUGUUUCUUCUCACUGGCAAAUAGAGCUAGAGAGAGUGCACGCUGACUGGCAAUGAUUUCUACUACCAUAUCCGUUUCCAUGGUGGAAAGCAAAAUUCAUUUGCCAACUCACCAACAAACUUUCUCCACUUCUAAUUCAAUUGUACAUGCUCUCCUUCCAGACACCGCAGCUGGAGAGUUAACCUGAUGGAACAGAGCAGGAACCAGCCAUAUCUGGUUCUGGAUCACCUUUUCUUGCCCCCUUUCAGCUUAGCAGUAGGAAUUUGAGCAUGGAACAAAACCUGGAUUGCUCUAAGUUGAUGUUACAUGCCAAACAAUCUUUGGCUCAGCCCUGGGAAACAGGCAGUUAUGAUCCAGCUUUUCAGUGAACAUCAAAGGAUGUAGUAAAACUGGAACAGGUAUGGAAGAGAAAGGCUGGGGAUAUUCUGUGUGAGAAACGGUUAAACAGGCUAAGAUGCUUGAAGGUGGAAGACAGAUACACCCAAGGUCUAUAAAACUACAAGGAGCAUUAAGUGAGUCGUGGGGCAGACAAUACAUUGCAAUGUUCUGAGAGCUGGAGGACAUCAUCUGGAAUCAGCUGGAGGUGGGUUUAGAGCAGGAGAAGGAAAAUAGGUCUCCUGCAAAUUAGAAGACCUGAAUACAUCUGCAAAUCCAGUUAAGCUAUGGAGCUCUUUGCCGUGUGUCAGUCAUUUACAUGGGCUCAAAAGUUAAAACAAAAACAUGGAAGAAAAGUCAGUUGCAAGAGUAUUAAAGCACAACAGAUACCACUUCUCACUCAAAGUCUCUGAACCACAAUUUUACACAGGCUAAGAGAAAACACCCUGAGGAAGUAUUUAUACCUUUCGCCUUGUCUUUACACUUUUUCCUGGACAUCUGUAACAAACUAUCAAUGCAGAAAGAAUCCUUCAGAAACUGGGUAGAAGAGCAAAAAUGUCAUCAUCCUAGGUCAGAGCAAAGAUCCAUCCAUGCUCAGAACCAGACACUUGUUUAUGCUUAAGGAGGGAGCAUAAGAAACGAAUACUUCUAGCAAAUGUCCCUUGCCACUUCUCACAAGCUGUCGUGUAAGAACUCUAAAUGAAUGUUUAUUUUCCUUGACAGAUUUAAAGUGAUUCAAGUGAUAGAACAGCAUAGUAGAAGGGAAAUCGUCCUACGUUUUUAGCCUUUACAUGAUAUCAGACUGGUCUCAGCAUCUCAGUCAUCCUGUUCAUCUCUUGUCUGAAGCUUCCACAUUCACAGAAGCACAAAGAAGAUGGAGAACUCAGUGGUACUACUUUCCUCCAGUGUGAAAAGAGGCUGAAAAGAAUAGCAUCUUAUUGGCUCUCCCAGGGAAAGAAAGCAUGUGCAACUGAAAUGCUGUUAGAUAUCAGAGAAUUCACACAGAGUGGUGUGUAUUGGAAAGGAGGCAGUACGUGUUCUGCCGUCACAGCGAAACUGGUUUUGUUGUUAAGCCAGCUGCUGAGACCUGGUUCAUUUGCCCAAUUCAAUCUACCCUGGGCUUUCCACAUCUUUGCUUCAAAGCCCUGUUUAUGAAGACAAAGACGGGAACUUGGCGGCUGCCAUACAAAUGUCACAUUUUAUGAGCAAGACAAUUGCUCUCAGAAGGUUUUUUUUCUUUCUUUUUUGGCAGGCUCUCAAUCCACGGCCUGGGUCUCCAUGCCCCCCAACUCCUCCACCACACAGUACAGAAAUGGUCACUGCAAAUUUCUGUCUGAGGCCAGCCUUGGCAGCGGAGCCAACGAGAAGAGAAACAGCCUGUGCUCUAAUAAGUAAAAUAUUUAUGUCUUGCUUUGGCUAACAUACCCUCUCUCAAUAAAAUAUUUUUCCCAGGAGGAAAUCUAUGAAAGGGAGGGAGCUCCUUUAUUAUGUCCCCAAAUCAUUCUUUUCUGCUGCCCUUCAAAAGCCUGGAAAUCAAAGAACACUGCAGUCCGAAGCUUUUUGUUGCUGUUCUUGACUUUGUUAUCGUUAGUUAUUACAAUCAUUACAUUGAUUACCAUUAUGAGCUCUCAAGAGGCCCUGGCUAAUCAGCACCCCAUUCCAGGAAACGCUCUGACAAAUCUCUCGCAGCAUAUGCAUACACAAAGCUUGUAGUCUAAAAAGACCAGCUUAAACAGACCGUUAACCCAUUCCCAUGCCAGGGAACUGCAGUACAGUAACUGCAAAGUAUAGCUAUGUGGGAAGCUUGUGUUAGAGACUGGACAAAGCUCUUAAGUCUGCUGCUAAAGAGAGCAGCCUGGUUGUUUCUUCCUGGAGCCUUGGAAAACCAUCCUCAAGAGACUCUUCACCUGCAAAUGAUUCACUGAUGAUGUUUUGCACUUCGACUUGUUGCUAACCUCCCAAACUACCAGCACAGUCUGUAGCUCAAACAGCAGCCUGCAGGACAUAGGGCAGGCCCUGGUUCAGCUGGAGGGUUACUUGUUGGGAUCUGCCAUUCACAGGCACCCGGAAAGAUGGCACACACUGACUUUCAACCACAGGCGACGUUGCUACUCCUGAGACCACCAGCAAAAUUUCAGUCUCUUUCUGGGCAUAUAAUCUCCGCCAGACUGCAGUGCAGGUCACAGGACUGCUCAUGGCAUCUGUUCUCUCUUGUAAGUGCUACAUUACAGCUGCUUUUUGCAGGUCCUCGCCUGUGACUUGUAUCAAUUUCCUGAUGUAUGGGAAGAGGCAGAAGUCCCGUAUCCAACCAAAUGAAAACAGAUUCUGAACUUUGAUGGUUCCUCUUCUAGGUCACCAGCCUUACACAAGCCACACUGUAGUGGGGAAGAGGAGGGAAGGAGAGGAAUAUACAAAACCAACCCCAGUCUAGUCUCUAUUAAGGAAUACAAAGUAAAAAUCCCGUGGUAGCAAUGGCAAAAACACAUGCAAAAUUCAAGGAAAAGAGAAAAGAAACCCCUAUUUGGGAUUUUAAAAGAAGAACUGAACAUGCACACAUAAUACCCUUUGGCAAGGGAGCCCAGGCAGGAAAGCAUUGCAACUCCAACAUGCUGUGCUCAGAGAAGGUGUUAAUGGUCCAGCCAUCCUGUGUUAUUGCACACAAACAAGAGAGGCCCAGCAGAACUGUAGGGGUCUUUAAGAUCCCCACCAAUAUGGAAAGAGCAGAGAGAGUUAUGUAGGAUUAACGCGAGAGAAGAGGAAGGAAAGGGGUGAAGGGAAGGCAAUGUCCCAAGCACUGGAGACCUCUGAGUUAACAAGGCAGGUCUGUUUGCAUCUCACACAUGGAAAUGAGGAUGCUCUGUCUGCCCUUCUCUCCCACACCUUGGUCUCUGCUUCAUGCACUCAUGGCAGGACAGCAAGGCUCUCCUCCUUUAUGGGACUCUUUGGGCCAAACAAGAGAUUUCUUGAUCAGCUGCAGUUAGGAUAACCAGUCCCAAAUCCCUCUAAACUCCCAGAAGGAGAGAGGGGCUUCUGGCACUUUGCUUGGAAGUAACCAUGCAUGAUGAAUUUACAGCUGAUGCCUGUAUCUGUGGUCUCUUCCUAACAUAGUCAGAGAUUCUGUCUCUUAUGCAUGGGAAAGAAAUAUUGGAAAGGUCGUGACACUGGCCUGUGCAUGUUUCCUUAGUGAGAGCUAGAAAAAUCUUCACACGUGUCAACCUUCCUAGGCCCAUAAGCCACACACCAAAAUCAUCACAUGGCUGUGGGCUCCCAGGCACAAAGGUCUGGGUGAAAGCCAGGAGUGUACGUGCUUGUGGUUUGAGAAUUUACAUGCUGCAUGGAAUGGGUGGUAUCUUCCCCAAAGCCUGCCACCACAAACACAAUGGGAUACCCAAGAGCUCCUUCGCUUUGCCAGUGAUGCCAUAACAAAAGCUUAUAUCCAGAAAAAGAAAAAAGAAAAAAGAGAAAACAAAGAGAAAAAAAAAAAAAAAGAAGAAAGAUCAGUUACAUUCAAAUACAGGCAAAAGCUUUCCCAGUGUGAAUAGCGAGGGAAAGACAUCAGUCGUUUGCACAGGACCAUAGGGUGUAGCUGAUUCUUCACCACUCAGAGGUUUUAAUAAAGACUGAUUUUUUUCCAAAUCUGCUUUAGGUGACGGAGAUCUCAUCUGAUGAAAUUCUGCUAUCUAUCUAAUGUCUAAAAGUGAGCCAUCUGUAAUAGUAUUGAAUACUCCAAAAUCUCUACUGCAACACCUAAAGCCUGUGUAACCAGAUCCUAUGAGUGGUAUUUCAUAUCCAGAAUAAAAGGCUGCAGAAGAUUCAGACAGCAAUAUGAACUUUAGGAGAGGCCAGCUCUGGCUUUCACAUUGGCAGAUGUGAUUUCACCACCACCAUCUAUAUAAGCAUCACUGUCAGAAAAUUUUGGAGGCCACUUUAACUGAUCUAUCGAGGGUGAACUCCAGAGUUAUAAUUAAUUGCACACCAUCAGGCAAAGUGCUGGACUGUUGAACCUGUGUACAGUUUUCCUGUGGAUUAGAUCAAAUUCCCGAUGUAGGAAAAACUAUUAGGGCCUCUGAUCUGUUUUCACUUUUGAGAGCUUAACACACGUUACUGACUUAAAUCAAGUGAUUUCCAACAUAUACCUGUGAGAACGCAGGAUCAAACCACAAUGUGUUGUGUUUCAAAAUAUUUUUUCACAAUAAGCUGGUUUAGUGAACUCACUUUUCACCCCUAGAGAGAUGACUGUAAUGAGAUCACGCAGAGAAAGGAUAUGGAGUUUCACCCCAAUCUCCAGGAGACAACAGGCCAUAUCCAAAAAUCCUCCCUCGCAUCGGUAGUACUUUUGGUCACGAAGCAAUACCAUCUGUGGGGCUAAUACCAAGCAAAGAGCAAGGUCAUAACUUCAGCUGUCACAUGAAGAUUUGAAGCUGAGAUUGUGUGAGCUCCCAGCUUAGGAAAUGCUCUUCCUGAAGCCUCACCUCCUGGAGUCCUGUCAAUACCCAAGACAUUUUCCCCAUAGUUCUUUUUCUCCUCUUUCACUUAAAAAAGGAAGAAAAGCUUAUUCAGAAAGACAUAUUCUGAUAGGAACAACUUCAAAACGCGUCACGAAGGCGGGACCACAUUUAAUGUCUUACUUUGGAUAAAUUGGCUGUGACUUUCGCUUCAGCAACAUAAAGCAGCGUGUCAGGUUGAUGUGAGGCUCUCGUCGGACCAAAUCUGAGCUGUAUUGCUACAAGGAAAUGAGAGUCAUAAAAGUGACUCUCAUAAAAUCACACAGCAAAUUAGUGCGAUCAGAACCCUGAUCUUGCAAAUCCUAAUCCAACACUCCAGCUAAAAAAUCUGCGAGGGGAAAUGGCUGUCCCUGCAUCAUCUGCAUCUCUCCAGGAUGAAACCGGUGUAUUUAAUUUCAACGCGAACAUUUUAUGUUCAAGAAAAAAAAAUAAAUGGUGUUUGUCGGUUCUAAUUAAA
This is a non-coding RNA of Coturnix japonica (Japanese quail), 8205 nucleotides long. The record is from RefSeq and is a predicted model, not a curated record. NCBI's taxonomy places the organism in Eukaryota, Metazoa, Chordata, Aves, Galliformes, Phasianidae.